RNAcentral lists this ribosomal RNA (254 nucleotides) under uncultured bacterium. RNAcentral's name for it is "partial 16S ribosomal RNA". It matches the Rfam family "Bacterial small subunit ribosomal RNA", at positions 524 to 776 of the family's 1533-position model. The record is from RNAcentral.
CACGUAGGGUGCGAGCGUUGUCCGGAAUUAUUGGGCGUAAAGAGCUCGUAGGCGGUCUGUCGCGUCGAUCGUGAAAACUUGGGGCUUAACCCUGAGCUUGCGGUCGAUACGGGCAUGACUGGAGUUCGGCAGGGGAGACUGGAAUUCCUGGUGUAGCGGUGAAAUGCGCAGAUAUCAGGAGGAACACCGGUGGCGAAGGCGGGUCUCUGGGCCGAUACUGACGCUGAGGCGCGAAAGCUAGGGGAGCAAACGGG